GUGUCUGUAUGUGUGUGCAUGAGAUGCAUUGUGUUUCUGUGUGUAUGUAAGAAAAGAAGUGUGUGUGUUUGCAUGCGUGUGUACGGGUUUGCAUUGUCUGUUUCUGUGUAUGUGUGCAAAGGAUGGAUUGUCUUUGUGUGUAAGGGUUGCAUUGUGUGUGUGUAAUGGAUGCAUUGUGUGUUUCUCUGUGUGUAAGGGAAGCAUGUUGUGUUUCUGUGUAUGUAUAGGGAUGCAUUG
Non-coding RNA from Pelobates cultripes (western spadefoot toad), 237 nucleotides. The record is from the annotation of a GenBank genome assembly. Lineage: Eukaryota; Metazoa; Chordata; Amphibia; Anura; Pelobatidae.